RNAcentral lists this ribosomal RNA (760 nucleotides) under uncultured cyanobacterium. RNAcentral's name for it is "bacterial SSU rRNA". It matches the Rfam family "Bacterial small subunit ribosomal RNA", at positions 65 to 868 of the family's 1533-position model. The record is from RNAcentral. Lineage: Bacteria; Bacillati; Cyanobacteriota.
AACGGUCUUUUAGGAGACAGUGGCGGACGGGUGAGUAACGCGUAAGAAUCUACCUUCAGGUUGGGGACAACCACUGGAAACGGUGGCUAAUACCGAAUGUGCCGAGAGGUGAAAGGCUUGCUGCCUGAAGAAGAGCUUGCGUCUGAUUAGCUAGUUGGUAGUGUAAGAGACUACCAAGGCGACGAUCAGUAGCUGGUCUGAGAGGAUGAUCAGCCACACUGGGACUGAGACACGGCCCAGACUCCUACGGGAGGCAGCAGUGGGGAAUUUUCCGCAAUGGGCGAAAGCCUGACGGAGCAAUACCGCGUGAGGGAGGAAGGCUCUUGGGUUGUAAACCUCUUUUCUCAGGGAAGAACAGAAUGACGGUACCUGAGGAAUAAGCAUCGGCUAACUCCGUGCCAGCAGCCGCGGUAAUACGGAGGAUGCAAGCGUUAUCCGGAAUGAUUGGGCGUAAAGGGUCCGCAGGUGGCAUUGUAAGUCUGCUGUUAAAGAGUUUGGCUCAACCAAAUAAGAGCAGUGGAAACUACAAAGCUAGAGUGUGGUCGGGGCAGAGGGAAUUCCUGGUGUAGCGGUGAAAUGCGUAGAUAUCAGGAAGAACACCAGUGGCGAAGGCGCUCUGCUAGGCCGAGACUGACACUGAGGGACGAAAGCUAGGGGAGCGAAUGGGAUUAGAUACCCCAGUAGUCCUAGCCGUAAACGAUGGAUACUAGGCGUAGCUCGUAUCGACCCGAGCUGUGCCGGAGCUAACGCGUUAAGUAUC